GAUGAAGAACGUAGCGAAAUGCGAUACUUGGUGUGAAUUGCAGAAUCCCGUGAACCAUCGAGUCUUUGAACGCAAGUUGCGCCCGAAGCCAUCAGGUUGAGGGCACGUCUGCCUGGGCGUCACAUAUCGUUGCCCAAUGCCUAUUGCGGUGCAAUAGGAAUUUCUAGGGCGAAUGAUGGCUUCCCGUGAGCGUUGUUGCCUCGCGGUUGGUUGAAAAUCGAGUCCUUGGUAGGGUGUGCCAUGGUAGAUGGUGGUCGAGUUAGAUCGAUACCGAUCAUGUGCAUGCUCCCCAAAAUAUGGCCUCUAUGACCCACACGCGUCUUUUGACGCUCAUGACGAGACCUCAGGUCAGGCGGGGCUACCCGCUGAAUUUAAGCAUAUCAAUAAGCGGAGGA
RNAcentral lists this unclassified non-coding RNA (395 nucleotides) under soil metagenome. Its description in RNAcentral is "partial contains 5.8S ribosomal RNA, internal transcribed spacer 2, and large subunit ribosomal RNA". The stretch from base 1 to 122 matches the Rfam family "5.8S ribosomal RNA", at positions 35 to 154 of the family's 154-position model. The record is from RNAcentral.